Molecule: long non-coding RNA, 514 nt
Organism: Amphimedon queenslandica
Lineage: Eukaryota; Metazoa; Porifera; Demospongiae; Haplosclerida; Niphatidae
Exons: 2
Source: RefSeq, a predicted model, not a curated record
AAACUUCACUUGCUGCUUCAGUUGCACAGUAUAUGUACUAGCCAUUUUUGCCACUACUACUGGUAGUUUUUCUACCCAAUACCCACUCUUAUUCAAACUCUUAUACGCAAACCUUCACUAUUUAUUUUAUUCAAACUCUAUAAAUGAAUGUACAUGUACUUUCAUAAUCAUGCCUCCAACUCUCCUUAAGACACACACGUUCACAAUGUUAUGUACGCAUUGUCAGAUUUAUGCAAACAUACUCAUAAUUCUCUUGCUCUCCCUCCCUCAGUUCCUCCUUCCCACCCCCAUGUGUCUCCCUUUCUCUCUGUCCCUCUCUAUCUCACACUGGAGCUCCAUCAAUAAACCUAGGCCUCCUGUAAUGAAUACAACAUUUCAAACUCCUCUCAUCAAAUUAUAUUUCUGUUAAAUAUAGAUUUAAUUUUGUUUUUAACAAAUAUUGUUUAUUUUACUUACUUUUCAAUAGUUUAGGAUGCUUCUUUUCAACUGCCUUGGAUGCACUUUCAGGAUUACC